Molecule: transfer RNA, 85 nt
Filed under: Rhodocyclaceae bacterium
Lineage: Bacteria; Pseudomonadati; Pseudomonadota; Betaproteobacteria; Rhodocyclales; Rhodocyclaceae
Description: tRNA-Leu
Rfam family: tRNA
About the family: Transfer RNA (tRNA) molecules are approximately 80 nucleotides in length. Their secondary structure includes four short double-helical elements and three loops (D, anti-codon, and T loops).
Source: RNAcentral
GCCCAGGUGGCGGAAUUGGUAGACGCACCAGAUUUAGGUUCUGGCGCCUCGCGGCGUGGGGGUUCGAGUCCCUUCCUGGGCACCA